GUCUACAGCCAUACCACCCUGAAUUUUUCCAUCCUAUCCAGGCUCAGAAGCUCAGCAGGGUUGGUUCUGGUUAGUGCUUGGAUGGGAGAAAAGGAAGAUUAGCUGGCAGCUUAUC
RNAcentral lists this ribosomal RNA (115 nucleotides) under Mesocricetus auratus (golden hamster). Lineage: Eukaryota; Metazoa; Chordata; Mammalia; Rodentia; Cricetidae. The record is from RNAcentral.